AACGAACGCUGGCGGCAUGCCUAACACAUGCAAGUCGAACGAGACCUUCGGGUCUAUUGCCUCACGGGUGCGUAACGCGUGGGAACCUGCCCUUAGGUUCGGAAUAACUCCACGAAGGGGGUGCUAUUACCGGAAAAUUUCUUCGGACCAAAGAUUUAUCGCCUUUGGAUGUGCCCGCGUUGGAUUACCUAGUUGGUAGGGUAAAAGCGUACCAAGGCGACGAUCCAUAGCUGUGCAGAGAGAAUCAGCAGCCACACUGGGACUGGGAUACGGCCGAGACUCCUACGGGAGGGGGGAGUGGGGAAUAUUGGAAAACGGGGUGAAUGCUGAACCACCAAUGCCGCGUGAGUGAUGAAGGCCGUAGGGUUGUAAAGCACGUUUACACGGGAGGAUAAUGACAGUACCCGCAGAAGAAGCUCCGGCUAACUCCGUG
This 433-nucleotide ribosomal RNA is filed under the name uncultured bacterium. RNAcentral's name for it is "partial 16S ribosomal RNA". It matches the Rfam family "Bacterial small subunit ribosomal RNA", at positions 29 to 507 of the family's 1533-position model. The record is from RNAcentral.